Small nucleolar RNA from Talpa occidentalis (Iberian mole), 128 nucleotides. RefSeq annotates it as small nucleolar RNA SNORA33. The record is from RefSeq and is a predicted model, not a curated record. Lineage: Eukaryota; Metazoa; Chordata; Mammalia; Eulipotyphla; Talpidae. The transcript has a single exon.
AAGCCAGUCGGUGAAUCUGCUUACCUGGAUGUGUUUGCAGAAAUUUAGAAAAAACUGGCAAUAGCACAGCCAUGUUACGAGCCUUAAAGACACUGUAGUCAUUAAGGUCCCUGAAAGUGGCUACAAGA